AUUGAACGCUGGCGGCAUGCCUUACACAUGCAAGUCGAACGGUAACAGGUUAAGCUGACGAGUGGCGAACGGGUGAGUAAUGUAUCGGAACGUGCCCAGUCGUGGGGGAUAACGUAGCGAAAGCUACGCUAAUACCGCAUACGAUCUAUGGAUGAAAGCGGGGGAUCGCAAGACCUCGCGCGAUUGGAGCGGCCGAUAUCAGAUUAGGUAGUUGGUGGGGUAAAGGCCUACCAAGCCGACGAUCUGUAGCUGGUCUGAGAGGACGACCAGCCACACUGGGACUGAGACACGGCCCAGACUCCUACGGGAGGCAGCAGUGGGGGAAUUUUGGACAAUGGGCGCAAGCCUGAUCCAGCAAUGCCGCGUGCAGGAUGAAGGCCUUGGGUUGUAACUAGCUUUGUACGGUAACGAAAC
This 414-nucleotide ribosomal RNA is filed under the name uncultured bacterium. RNAcentral's name for it is "bacterial SSU rRNA". It matches the Rfam family "Bacterial small subunit ribosomal RNA", at positions 30 to 451 of the family's 1533-position model. The record is from RNAcentral.